GCCUGGGUGGCUCAGUCGGUUGAGCGUCUGACUUCGGCUCAGGUCAUGAUCUCACGUGAGUUCGAGGCCCGCGUCGGGCU
RNAcentral lists this transfer RNA (80 nucleotides) under Felis catus (domestic cat). It matches the Rfam family "tRNA". From Rfam's summary of the family: Transfer RNA (tRNA) molecules are approximately 80 nucleotides in length. Their secondary structure includes four short double-helical elements and three loops (D, anti-codon, and T loops). Lineage: Eukaryota; Metazoa; Chordata; Mammalia; Carnivora; Felidae. The record is from Rfam by way of RNAcentral. RNAcentral also lists the same sequence under 1 other name.